RNAcentral lists this ribosomal RNA (508 nucleotides) under uncultured bacterium. RNAcentral's name for it is "partial 16S ribosomal RNA". The record is from RNAcentral.
GGAGUUAGCCGGUGCUUCUUCUGUGAGUGAUGUCCUUCCUGCCGGUUAUUGACCCGCAGGCCUUCUUCCUCACUGAAAGUGCUUUACAACCCGAAGGCCUUCUUCACACACGCGGCAUGGCUGGAUCAGGGUUGCCCCCAUUGUCCAAUAUUCCCCACUGCUGCCUCCCGUAGGAGUCUGGGCCGUGUCUCAGUCCCAGUGUGGCUGAUCAUCCUCUCAGACCAGCUACGGAUCGUCGCCUUGGUGAGCCGUUACCUCACCAACCAGCUAAUCCGACAUAGGCUCAUCCGAUAGCGCGAGGCCCGAAGGUCCCCCGCUUUCCCCCGUAGGGAGUAUGCGGUAUUAGCCUGGGUUUCCCCAGGUUAUCCCCCACUACCGGGCAGAUUCCUAUGCAUUACUCACCCGUCCGCCGCUCGCCACCAGGGAGCAAGCUCCCCGUGCUGCCGCUCGACUUGCAUGUGUUAGGCCUUCCGCCAGCGUUCAAUCUGAGCCAUGAUCAAAACUCUGA